UGCUUUUUUCUUUUUGCUUUAUGGGUUCCUUCCUCUUUGCCUCUCUCCUAUUCUCUCUGUGUGUCUCUCUCUCUCUAGUCUGGAGACGAAGUCGAAGACGAUGGCGCACUGGUUGGACAAUACCCCUCUGUUCCUCCCUUCGUUUUCUUUCUCUCUGAUCGUUCAUUGUUCCCUCUGUUUCUGUCGUGUCCCUUUCUUUUUUCUC
RNAcentral lists this long non-coding RNA (205 nucleotides) under Populus tremula. RNAcentral's name for it is "long non-coding RNA (PTRE_LNC001597)". The record is from RNAcentral. Lineage: Eukaryota; Viridiplantae; Streptophyta; Magnoliopsida; Malpighiales; Salicaceae.